RNAcentral lists this ribosomal RNA (299 nucleotides) under uncultured bacterium. Its description in RNAcentral is "partial 16S ribosomal RNA". It matches the Rfam family "Bacterial small subunit ribosomal RNA", at positions 30 to 334 of the family's 1533-position model. The record is from RNAcentral.
AUUGAACGCUGGCGGCAGGCCUAACACAUGCAAGUCGAGCGAGAAAGCCUUCGGGUGAGUAUAGCGGCGGACGGGUGAGUAACGCGUGGGAAUCUACCUGGUAGUGGGGGACAACAUCUCGAAAGGGGUGCUAAUACCGCAUACGACCUAAGGGUGAAAGUGGGGGAUUUUCGGACCUCACGCUAUCAGAGGAGCCCGCGUAAGAUUAGCUAGUUGGUGGGGUAAAGGCCUACCAAGGCGACGAUCUUUAACUGGUCUGAGAGGAUGAUCAGUCUCACUGGAACUGAGACACGGUCCAG